Molecule: ribosomal RNA, 253 nt
Filed under: uncultured bacterium
Lineage: Bacteria
Description: partial 16S ribosomal RNA
Rfam family: Bacterial small subunit ribosomal RNA
Source: RNAcentral
UACGAACUGUGCGAACGUUAUUCGGAAUCACUGGGCUUACAGGGUGCGUAGGCGGCCGAACAAGUCAGGUGUGAAAGCCCUCGGCUCAACCGAGGAACUGCGCUUGAAACUGUUUGGCUCGAGUCAACUAGAGGUGCACGGAACUUCCAGUGGAGCGGUGAAAUGUGUUGAUAUUGGAAGGAACACCGGUGGCGAAGGCGGGUCUCUGGGCCGAUACUGACGCUGAGGAGCGAAAGCGUGGGGAGCAAACAGG